AAGUAGAAAUGAAAGAGUACCUCUGUCAUCACCAUCUUUACUCUCAAUAUGAUCCCAACAUCUGCUGAGAAGUUCUCAAUUAAGCAACUGUUGCAGUCUUCUCUACAAUCCCUUCUUUUAGUGUCUGAGGGGAACCAUUCAUCAGAUUUCCAGUCUUGGCAUCCACUGUUUCCUUGUAUGCAGCUGAAUGAACACCAAGAGCAGCACGACCAGAAGGGUCAGGAUUUUUGGCCCAUGCUGCAUCCCAUUCCACUGCUUUUGCAGUACUGCACGCAACACUUGGUCCUCCAGGAACUGUCGACCUUGCAGCAUUCUUAGGGAAGAAUUUCUCAAAGAUGGUUCUGUAGUAGUAUGCCUCCUUUGUGGUAGGAGUAUUUUCUGGGUAAAUAAAGCUAGCAUUCAUCAACAUUGCAUCUGUGACUUGUUUGUUUGCAUGGUCUCUCAGACCAUCAAUCCAGCUAUACCCAACUCCAUCACUGAACUGUUCCUUCUGCCUGUACAAUAUGUGCUUUGGAAGGUAUGGAUUCUUCUCAUCAUCAAAUGCAUUGCGCAAGACCCACUUCU
Molecule: unclassified non-coding RNA, 564 nt
Filed under: Hevea brasiliensis (rubber tree)
Lineage: Eukaryota; Viridiplantae; Streptophyta; Magnoliopsida; Malpighiales; Euphorbiaceae
Source: RNAcentral